This is a long non-coding RNA of Triticum dicoccoides, 701 nucleotides long. RefSeq lists it as uncharacterized. Lineage: Eukaryota; Viridiplantae; Streptophyta; Magnoliopsida; Poales; Poaceae. The record is from RefSeq and is a predicted model, not a curated record. The transcript is spliced from 3 exons.
GAAUCCGUUGUCAGUAAAGAAAAUGUUGGCUCAGAUGUUAUGUGCACAACCUGUGUGAGAUGGUUGUUGUGUGGAUAGAGAAUCAGUUCCAUGAAAACAAAUAAAGGAGCGGAUAUUGCAAUAGGUUAACCAGCUGUGUGAGCGUUUACGGAGCGCGAACGGGGAGUCAACAGUCAGCUGCUGUCAGAUCUCAAAAAUGCGGGUUCGUUUUUCGUUGCUUACAGCGAGAGCGGUCGUGGUGGACAUGAACGACCACCACGGAUCCCUCGCCCCAAGUCAUGAUCCAGUUGUUGAAUGUUCACAAGAAAAUUUAUGUGGAUUGGAGAUUGACUGAUUGUUUGGUUGUCCGCAGAUUCAAAGAUGAAGUACAUAGUAAAGGUAGGGGCAAGGGGCAUCAGACGUGCUAAUUUUUCUGAACUCUACAAUGGAACCUGUGUUUCUGAAUUUCUGUCAAAGUGUCAACUCUGGAUCAUACAUAGUAGUGCUUUUUUGAUAGUAGGUGGUCUGAAUUUCUGUCAAUGGUCUGAAUUUCUCAAAGUGACUACUCUGGAUCGUACAUAGUAGUGCUCUUUUGAUAAUUGAUAGUAGGUGGCCGAAGUGUCAAACGCUGGAACAAGCACGAUCCAGAGUUUUGAGUUUUGAGUUUGCCCCACCUUAAGUUUUUUCCAUCCUCCACCACGACCGGACGCCCUCUCCAUCUA